AUGAUGCUUAAUGAUGGCUGUCAUGGUGUGUUUGGACAGUGAAUUGUUCCCUAUUAUAGGUGGCUCCUGUCAAAGGUAGAUAUUUUCCCCAUUUUAAAGGCAGAAUCUUUCACAGGUACAACAGUUUAUGCAUACAUUUUUUGUAAGAUAUUGUAGCAUGGAUCAUGAUACAGACAAGCGGGGUUUUGAUAUUUCAAAUGACUCUGGGAAAUGUUUUAAUCAUGUCAUGUUGAGUCAGAUUUUCUGCUGAACACCGUUAACACCGAUAGUAGCCUGUUGAUGUCGAAAUGUUUCUCGACCUUUUUAAUCUGAGGUGGGGACGGGAUUGAUGACUGUUAUAUAUUGAGUUAUGUGUCAGAGUGUGGGGUGUCAAUUGUCUUGUUUACUUUCAUUUUCAUUUGAGGAACUAUAAGACCUGAUUGGUCAGAUACUCAUUUUGUUGUUUCAUCUUAGUCAUUUGUAACAUAAGUGUAUGGGCCUUUUCUUUUCAUUAGGGAUUUAAUUGUACUUAUAAUGUUUUAUCAAACAUGUAAUGUUUUUCUUUAAAUGUUUGAUAGUGGGCAGCGUGGAAUUAACAAUUACAAUGUGAAUAUACAUUUCAUUGGAAGUGGAUGUGCCUAGAUAAUGAGAACAACAGACACCUAUCUGUUCAUCUCUCUGUAGGUUGCGCUCUGAUAAUCCCCGGAAUGUUUACAAUGACCAUCUGGCAUGGGGGGUUAACUUCUAGAAACAUGAUCUGUGCUAGGUAGAAACACCCUUAAUGUAUAGGCUAGCUGGCAACUAACAUAACAGUGAGAAGAUAAUGGAACGUUCACUGAAUGACAUCUAUGCUGCAAUUUUCCAAUAAACUUGAGCAAACUUCUCCCUCGAUUUGAUACAGGUUCUACAUUAUUUCAACCACUAUAUGAAACCGUCAAUUUCUAACAUUUCCCACCAGGCCCACAAUGAGGACAUCAAAGGACCACUUUCCUGGAUAGCAGAGUUGUGGGAAGGGGCCUUGGCCCAGUAUGGCAAAACCUGCAGGAUGACUACGAUGAUGGAUGACCCGGUGGAUGGACCUCGUGGAGGAAGAUGAGGAUAUCCACACUUAGUAUAAAUUCAUAUAUCUCAGCCUUUGACCAGGCUGUCUGGGCAACCGACAUUCUAUGAUUUUCUGUCUCGUGGAGCUAUUUGUGCAACCUUGCAUUUUUUAGACUACAUCAUAGUGGCUACUAUGCCUUGUAUGUACAUUCUGCAAAUGUUAAUUCCGUCAUCUGUACUGUUGGAGGAGG
This is a long non-coding RNA of Esox lucius (northern pike), 1271 nucleotides long. The record is from Ensembl. NCBI's taxonomy places the organism in Eukaryota, Metazoa, Chordata, Actinopteri, Esociformes, Esocidae.